UACGCGAGAUUUAAUUUUUUCGCCAUCAAAUGCCUGUUGACAGUUACUCGAAAACCUCGCGAAAAUUUGGCAUUUCUCGGAGCAUAAAAAAUCCAAAACAUAUUGGCCUGAAAUCCACUAAUUAAAUGUCUCCGUCCCGGCCCUACGGAGGAAACCAUUUUGCAGAAGAGGGGGCCGGCGUUCAAAUCGUAAGAGUGCGUGGCAGAUGAAGAGGGCCACAACAAGUGCUUCAAUUUUCUUCAUCUUAAUAACGAUUUCUAUUGAGAUCGUCGAUGUUUCUUCAUCGUCGCCUUUCUUACAUGAAAGCCAGGUUUAUGAGGGAUCUGCUGGUGGAAGGCAUAAUAAACAUGGGCAAGAGCACGCUCAUGAAGUACAUUGCUCUAGAGAAAGAAGUAGGGCAGCUUCAAAAAUAAUUGAGGAGUAUUUGAUGCCAUUUGUGGAGCGAGAAAACUAUCAGCUCCCGACAAAAUGCAGACUUCGUCCCGACUAUAAUAUAUUCAGGGAUCAGGAAGAGCAUAAAAUUUAUAUUGAUAUAAAUGAAUGGCGGUGUGGAUAUUGUAAGAAAAGCUUCCGUGCUGAAAAAUUUCUUGAUCAGCAUUUUGAUAACAGACACCACAAUCUUCUAAAUGUAAGUCAUGGCAAGUGCCUUGCUGAUUUAUGCGGGGCAUUGCAUUGUGAUGCUGUGAUUUAUACUAAGACCUCUAAAACCAAGUGUAAUCCGGCAGCUGCAGGGAGAAAUCGUCACCUAUGUGAGAGUCUUGCAGAUAUUUGUUUUCCCUUAAAUGGGGGUCUCUCAGCAAGCCGCCUUCAUGAAUUGUUUCUGCACCAAUUUUGUGAUGCCCACACCUGCUCAGGUAAACAGAAACCCUUCGUUAGAGGUGGCAGGGUAAGAUGCUAAGAUCCAACUCUCUUCUUUUUAAAUUGCAUUACUAAAACACCUAUUUAUUUCAAUGUCUCUACUUGGAAAGUUGUCACUACUAAUUUGUAAUGGCUUUGAAAGAUUCGUGGCUUUAUACUCCUUGUCAUAAAUUAUCCACAUUGUUAGGUGUUAUCCAUUCUAUUGAAGCACUUCCGGGGAGAAAAACCUCAUAUGAACUGAAACAUAAUUGUAAUAAAAGGGAGAGUUAAUUAGAGUUAGUUAAUUGCCUUGGGUGAACGGAGGGGAUUAAAUAGGUUGUAAUUAGCUUUUGUGAGAAUCAUAUUGAGUUGAAUGGAAUAAACUUUCCCUCUGUUUAGAAAUAUAAUAGGGAAGAGACAGAAAGAGUAGGAAAGAGUGAUAGAGAGAGGAAGAGGGGUAGGUUAAAGGAGAGAGACAGAAGGAGAGUAGAAACAGAGAGAAGAGAAAAAAUAGGAGAGUCUAUUCCAUUCCAUUCAAUUCAAUAUGAUUAAAAUCUAAUUAUAUAUCUACCCAAUCCCCUCUAUUUAUUGAUUAACUCUAAUUAUCUCCUCCUUUUAUUGCAAUUAUAUAUCAUUGCAUUUUCUGUUUGGUUCUUUAGGGUAGCUCUUAUCCACUUCUAAAUUUAAACAUGCAAGCAGUACUUCUAUCCUAGGAAGGUCUACAAGUAUCAAGCAUGGUCUUUACCUUUCAAUCCCAGCAUAUCAAAAUUCCUGAAAAUUUCUAGAAGCAAAAGAGUAUCUUCUAUUUGGCUUCUGGAGCGUUGACCUUGGUGCUACUUCCUGUGUUUUAU
RNA transcript from Prosopis cineraria, 1688 nucleotides. RefSeq lists it as uncharacterized. Lineage: Eukaryota; Viridiplantae; Streptophyta; Magnoliopsida; Fabales; Fabaceae. The record is from RefSeq and is a predicted model, not a curated record. The transcript is spliced from 8 exons.